This 468-nucleotide ribosomal RNA is filed under the name uncultured bacterium. Its description in RNAcentral is "partial 16S ribosomal RNA". It matches the Rfam family "Bacterial small subunit ribosomal RNA", at positions 28 to 507 of the family's 1533-position model. The record is from RNAcentral.
GACGAACGCUGGCGGCGUGCUUAACACAUGCAAGUCGAACGGAAAGGCCCUGCUUUUGUGGGGUGCUCGAGUGGCGAACGGGUGAGUAACACGUGAGUAACCUGCCCUUGACUUUGGGAUAACUUCAGGAAACUGGGGCUAAUACCGGAUAGGAGCUCCUGCUGCAUGGUGGGGGUUGGAAAGUUUCGGCGGUUGGGGAUGGACUCGCGGCUUAUCCGCUUGUUGGUGGGGUAGUGGCUUACCAAGGCUUUGACGGGUAGCCGGCCUGAGCGGGUGACCGGCCACCUUGGGACUGAGAUACGGCCCAGACUCCUACGGGAGGCAGCAGUGGGGAAUAUUGCACAAUGGGCGGAAGCCUGAUGCAGCAACGCCGCGUGCGGGAUGACGGCCUUCGGGUUGUAAACCGCUUUCGCCUGUGACGAAGCGUGAGUGACGGUAAUGGGUAAAGAAGCCCCGGCUAACUACGUG